Long non-coding RNA from Anthonomus grandis grandis, 523 nucleotides. RefSeq lists it as uncharacterized. The record is from RefSeq and is a predicted model, not a curated record. Lineage: Eukaryota; Metazoa; Arthropoda; Insecta; Coleoptera; Curculionidae. The transcript has 3 exons.
UAAUAUUUGUGGCCAUAAGUGAAUAAAAGCAUAGGAAAAUCGUGGUCUAUAUACAACACAAAUUUUUAUUUUUUUUUGUUAAAAAAUAAAAAUUUUUUUAGUUAUUUAACGGAUUUAAGGUAUAGUGGUUUUGAAUUAUUAGUCGUACUGAAAGUAUAGCUGACUUAGGUGUUACCUCUGAUUGUCAACGAAGUUUUGUGUUGCAUAUUCUGUCCAUCGUAUCAUCUGCUAGUAGAGCUUUGGACUUCAUAAAACGCGACUAUAAGCGAAUUGAUAGUGUUGCAUCCCUAAAGAUCAGUUUCAAUACAUUGAAAAUCUGCAACCAGAAGAUCCUUAUAAAAAUUUAGAAAUGUGGCAAAACCACCGUACUGACCACAUGUAACUUUUUCGGAGAAACUUAAGAAGAGAGUAGUCAAGAUGUUAAAUACCAAACCCUUCGCAAAAAACCAAAUUUCUGCCCUGAAUACUUGGACAGUACCUACCUGUACUAUUUAUGUUGGUUAUUGUUAUUGUUCGUAUUUGU